AAUGGAGUGGUUGGAAGAUUGUAUUGUUUUAGAGAAAUCCAAUUACUAAAACUAUGCAAUCUUCCAACUAUUACAUU
This 77-nucleotide small RNA is filed under the name Prunus dulcis (almond). Its description in RNAcentral is "sRNA ncRNA". Lineage: Eukaryota; Viridiplantae; Streptophyta; Magnoliopsida; Rosales; Rosaceae. The record is from RNAcentral.